This 211-nucleotide unclassified non-coding RNA is filed under the name uncultured fungus. RNAcentral describes it as "sequence contains ITS1, 5.8S rRNA gene". The record is from RNAcentral. Lineage: Eukaryota; Fungi.
UUAGUUUAUUUAACUAUUUUUCAGAUUUAACAUGGUUAAAAAAGAGUUUGUUAAGGGCUACUGACGGGCACUGGCCAGAGGUCGAAGACCCCCGACGGUCCGGUCAAGGACGGGCCCGCCAAAGCAACAUGGUAGUUAUACAAAGGGUUGGAGAUCGGGCCUGGAAGACCCUAACUCAUUAAUGAUCCUUCCGCAGGUUCACCUACGGAAA